Molecule: long non-coding RNA, 8553 nt
Organism: Ictalurus punctatus (channel catfish)
Lineage: Eukaryota; Metazoa; Chordata; Actinopteri; Siluriformes; Ictaluridae
Exons: 2
Source: RefSeq, a predicted model, not a curated record
UUCAUAUAAGGAAAAAUAUAUAUAUUUGAAGUAUAUUCCCACUGAUAUUUAAUCAAUAAACUGCUAGCUAGUUGAUUGAAAACAGUUGCACUACCAUAACCAUGCUAGUGAAAAAUGUACCUAGUUAACUUGGUGGUUUGAGGCAAUCAACUUUGUACGAUGUCACCUUUCCUUUUAAUGUUUACAGUCAAUUAUUUUCAUCACACAGUUAUGAUUUGGUUUAUGGUCAAAUCUAGGUGUAUAACUGCUUGGUAGGAUCAAAUGUCGUUGUUCAUAUUGGUGCUUUAUUAAGCUACAUCCAAAUAAACAUCUGGCAAUGUUGUUUUUUGUCUAGCUAACUUUGUUGUGCACAUUAUAAGUUUAUAGUUUCAGAGGAUGAGAGAAGUACACCAGAGCCUCAAACUCAAAAUAACUUAAACGAGAAAAAUCAGUUUUCAAUCAAAGCUCUCCAGGCACUUCAUUCUCUUAAUCUUUUGUGUUGUAAGACAUUGUCAGGAAGGAGGACUUUACAAAGCAGAGAAGCAUUUAGUUCCAAAGAAUAGGGCUGUCAUGAUUUUGAAUUUCUUUUUAAUUUCAGCUUAGAAAAUGAUGCAUUAUGACUGUAUUAUUAUUUUUUUUAGGUGGGUGCAGAACGGGUUGUCAGUAUUAUUUUAUUGCAUAAUCGUUGACGUGAACAGUUGAUGUACAGUCUGCUUUCUUUUUACUUUUCUAUUGUAUUCCAUCUUAUUUUAUGUUCUGCCUAGUGUUACCUUGCACGCAGAAAUGGUAUGACCGUGUGAGCACGUGUGCUUUUGAUUGCAUGCGUCAAAUGUGACAUGUGGCGACACGACAUUCAUGAGUGUAUGUAACAAGAGCAGCAGCAGAACUGUAAUACACAAUAAGGUUACUACUUUACUGGUCAAAACUUGGUGAAAGAAGGAAAAUAACACGAUUUCAACAUUUUUAGACUCAUCCUUAUGGAAACGUGACCAAAUAAUUUGUUAUAACUGUUGGUUUCAUAGCAUUGCUGUUAAUGUGACAGCUGUUCUGAGCAACAUUUUGCCUAUACAAUAAAAGACAUUCACAACACAGAGAACUGUUGUAAAUUACAGACAGUCUGACACUGUAGGUCUUUUUGUUGUGAACAAUAUGAUUAAAUUUCUCCCAGGGCAUGUCAGGGAGUCACAUUCUUCACACAUACUUUUUUUCUACUAAUUUCAAUCUAGCUAUGGGAUCAUUUAUAUUACUUACAGAAUAAUAUUCUGUAAUGUGAAUAAUUGAAUACUCACCCACUCAUAACCAAGUAGGUGCAUUUUAGGGGUAUUUAGGAGGAAACUGGAGAACCCAGAGGAAACCCACAUGGGAACUGGGUGCAGGAGUGGCACCACUACUCCAAAUAUGGUGGGGAAACAUUUUUUUCUGAGAGAAGAGGUACAUCUGUUGUUUGUCUAUAAAAACAUACAAACUAACUAUGUACAGUAUUUUGCUUUGAGCACUAUAUGGAGCCAGGGUCUGAUUAUAGUCUGAUUAUAAAACAAUAACAUGGCACAACACACACUUUUAAUGAACAUCAGAUUACAGUAGUUUGUUUUGACUCCACAUGCUUCAUUUUGCAUUUUUCUCCUCAGGCAGUUAAUAACAGCAAAAAAUUAGUUCACAAAGUUAGAUAGCACAAGUUCUAAAAUAUGUUUUAAAAAUCGAAGACAUGUUCACGUUCUGCAGUAAGCUAUUUGUCACUGGAGUAACGGUCUGUUAUGCUAAACUUUUUUUUCCAGAAAGCCUUACUUACUUUAUUUGAGGGAUGUUCAUUUAAUCGAUUCAGAAUAUGUGUGUAUUAAAAUAUAGAAACAUUAGUGGUACUGAGGCAACACACUAUUAUUAAGCACCACUGAGCAUGCCAAAGCAUGGUUUAUCGUUGAUAGUAGAUAGCCUGUAGUUGAAAUGUCCCGUCCUGUCCCUUAACCCCCCCCGCCCCAGUAGUUUGAAAAGUGACAGCUCGCCCCCAUUGCUCCGGUGGCCUUGACUGGGAGAAUAUGUGAAACUCAGCACAGACAGUAACCCAAGCUCUGUAUUGAACCAGUGAUCUUGGUGCUUUGAGGUGGCAAUGCUACUCACUAUAGCACAAAUAUGAAAAAUAUGUAAAAUAUGUACAGUAUGUGUACAAUUAAAAAAAUGCUCAAGUCUAUCUAGAAGAAAUUGUAUUUAGCUGUGACCUCCUGGACAAUCAAGUCAUAAAUGACUUGCCGUUAAACACACUGACACUGAUGAAAUCAUGAGCAUAGAAUUGCAGGCUAAACUUUCAAAUGCUAUAUCACUCAGAAGGUUAGUGCAUACACCCCUGACAACUCAAGCAACAUGAUCCUUGUCUUCAACUUGCAUUUAUUAAGCAAGUUGCUACUGUGAGUUGUAUUGUGGGAGCAUGUGUAACAUUUGUCUCCCAUUUCUAUCAAUGUAGUGAUGCAGCAUGAGCAAACAAAGAAAACAAACACUUGUUCUUUACUGUCAGACAAGCCGAGUAGUGUAAAACCUGUGUCUCUAACAGAACUGACACCUAGCUCAGCGUGUUUGGAUAGUUCUCUCCUGUUUAUUUUUGUAAUAGUAUUGAUUGUAAUUCCGAUUUAUUCCAGUCAUGUCUGUUGUCAGAGGUCUACUGGAGCUGCCUGUGUAGUGCUUGAAAAAAACCCUCCUGUUUUUGUUGUUGUUGUUGGUUUUAAUCCAUAAUACAGAAGUAUGUUCACUCUUAUUGUACAAUUUCUGUCUUAACCCCCAAACUGGCCAACACAUUUUAAGAUCUUUGAAGCUUGCUGAUUAACACGCUACAUAAAAGUGUCAUCAUAAAACAAGUUUAAGUAAAGGUGGCUUAGGGAAAUAAUGAAUCGCCAUCAGUUAUUAUAGUAAAUCAUUAAUUAAGCUACAGUUGUUUUGAAACUCUAGCAUUAUUUCCUCUUUCCGCUUUGCUCUGGGAUUAGAAAUUGAUAGUCCUGGGUGCCUGGAUUAUAGAUUAUGGAUUAUGUCCACCCUGAGUACCAGUUGCACUUAGAAUUAACAUCCACAUACAGUAAAUGACAUAAAUUUUAACUAUCAGAGCAUGGGAACACACCUUGAAAAGGGCUUUUCCUCAUAGAGUCUCCGUUCUAAACUAAAAUUUAGAAUUAUAAAAAUUUCUCUUUUAAAUUUUACAAUUUUUAUAAAAUUUAUAACCCCAAAUCCAAAAAAGUUGGGACAGUAUGGAAAAUGCAAAAAAAACAACAACAAAAGGGUUAUUUGAAAAUUCAGUUCAUGCUGUACUACAUUGAAAACACAUUAUUAACACAUUAUUUGAUGUUUUACUUUGUGAAUAUAAUUUAUUUUUUAAAAUAUACACUCGUUUAAAAUCUGUAACAUCACCUUUUCUUUUAAUAACACUUAAUAAGCGUUUGGGCGCUGAGUGAAGACACCAGUUGGUUAAGUUUAGCAAGAGGAAUUUUCCCCUAUUAUUCAUUAUGCAUUUCUUCAGCUGCGCAACGGUACAGAAUGCUAGCACCCGCACUCUCUGCUUACGCAACCAUGUGCUUGUAAUCCAGGCAGAAUGUGGUUUGGCGUUGUCCUGUUCUGGAUGGCAGCAUAUGUUGCUCCAAAAUGUGCACAUAUCUUUCUGCAUUAAUGGUGCCGUCACAGAUGUGCAAGUUACCCAUGCCAUGGGCAUUGAUAUACCCCCAUACUAUGACAGACGCUGGCUUUUGGACGACGCUGAUAUCAGCCUCGAUGGUCCUUUUCUUCCUUGGCCCGGAGAACACGAUGGCUGUUUUGAAAUGUUUGAAAUGUUGACCAGAAACACGAUUCCACUGUGAGAGAAGUCGGUGGCGCUUCUGGACAGUGUUGAUGUAUGGCUUCUGCUUUGCAUACUAAAGCCUUAACUUGCAUUUGUGGAUGCAGCAGGGAAUGGUGUUGACGACAAAGGUUUAUCAAAGCCAAAGGUUUCCGGAGCCCAUGUCAGGAAAUCCAUUACAGAUUCAUGACGUUUUUAAGACAGUGACGUCUGAGGGAUCGGAGAUCAUGUGCAUAAAGAAGUGGUUUUCGGCCUUGCCCUUUACGCACUGAGAUUUGACCAGAUUCCUUGAAUCUUUUAAUUAUAUUGUGCACUGUAGAAGGUGAAAUGCCCAAAAUCCUACCGAUUUGUCUUUGGUGAAUGUUGUUCUCAAAUUGUUGGAUUAUUCACUGAUGCGUCUGUUGGCAGAUUGGCAAGCCUUGACCCAUCCUUGCUCUUGAAGGACUAGGCCUUUUUUGGAGGCUUCUUAUAUACUAUGAUUAGACAAUUGCCUCACCUGUUUCACAUAACCUUCUUAUUUCAAUUUGUCACAUUGCUAUUAGUCCUAAUUUGCCCCGUCACAACUUUUUUGGAACAUGUUGCAUGCAUCAAUUUCAAAAUAAACGUUUAUGAUCAAAAAACUAUGCCAUUGAUUAGGUAGAACAUCAAAUACCUCGUCUUUAUACGUUUUUUGUUUAAAUACAAGUCAAAGUACAUUUACAAAUGACUCCUGUCCCAACUUUUUCUGAAUUGGGGUUUAACUACUUAAGUGUACAAUUAUUAUUUAGUUCUUGUAAACCCCCCGCCCCCCCAUUUCAAUCUUAACACCAUUCAUUACUAGUUGUACUAAUAUUAUAAAAGGACUGACAAACAGAAAAGAGUUUCAUCAAAAGCCUAACUGCACAUCAGUUGUUUGUGUUUGAAUCAAUGAGUAUAUGAAAGCUUCUGUCUGUUAUGCUACAGUAUGUGUGUGGGAAAACCGAGAUUGAUUAACACCAGGAGUCCAUUCAGAAUGAUAAAGGGAAUUUACACAGGAAAUUGAAAGACAUAAACAACGGCAUUGAAUUCCCCAUGCCAGACCAACGUCACAAAUGCCACGAAAUGUAACUGAUUGUCUUUUUGAUCCAGAAAAACAGAUCUCAAAGUGUAAUGUGAUGUCUGAAUAAAAUUUAUACCACAGUGCUGUUGAAACCUCUGAGCUGAUGAUUAAUUAAGCAAGAGUUCAGUUAUACUGAAUAUUGGCCCAGCUGUGAUUCAGCAUAGACUGAGUGCUGUAGCUAAUAUUCAGUACAUCAGUUCUAUAAACAAGAAAUUAAUAUAGAGUAACUGACAUUUCAGACACAACAUGGCCAAAUGUUUUGGUUAUUUUUGCUCCACUAGUGGAAAUAGAUCCCGAAAAAGCCACACUCACAUUAUAGCACAUCGGCUAGCUGGCUAUCUAGCUCACACUGAUUUGUACAUCCCAGUUCCACUUCCACAUUCCAGUGCUUCUAGUGUAAUUGACUUUCCUUCUUCCUUUUCAUCUCAUGGGCUUUCAAAUUUUAAGUCAAAAGUUAUAUUAAUGAAUGUGUUGUGUAAUGUAAUGAAAAAUGUUUUGUCCGCUCGUGAUGUCACUAAAUGUACUGUAGUAACAGUUUCAAACUAGGAAGUGUAAUUUUAUGUGGUGCAUGCAGAAUGAUACACACAGUGAAACAACUCAGUGUGGUUAUACUAAAUAUAAGCACUCUUGGAAUGCCACUUGACCAAUUAAAUUAGUGAACUACAAAUAACUGUGGUUAUUAAACAACAGUUGUGACAGUAAUGGCAGUUGUAAUUAAAAUGACAGGUUUAUAUCAAUGUGCUGUUUUAAUGUGUUAUAGUUUCUAUAAUAACAGCUAAUUCACAGAUAAUUCUAUGGCAGACCCUCUACAUAACCUAAUGCUAAUAAUAACUGGAUUAACAAAAUGUGUUUUGUCACAAAACAUAUCAACAAAUUGUUGAUAUGGCAAUGCUUUCUGUAAGUAGACAUUGAUUGGUUGGGUGACCAUACGUCCUCUUUUUCCCGGACAUGGCCUCUUUUUCAGCCUUAAAAAGGCGUCCGGUAGGAUUUCUACAUUUGAGAAAAUGUCCAGGAUUUGGCUUUAGUUUCAUUAUGAUGUGCUUGUGGUCUAAUACUGCAUCAUAUGUGCGCAUAUAUACAUUGCUUUAACCCCUCUCUGUAAUUCCCGCCUUCUCGCACACCAAUUGGUCGAUUAUAAAAGGCCUGCAGCAACUGUUGGCCAAAUUCUUGCCUCUCAACCAUUAGCCUACUCUCAGCGAACGCACGAAGGCGAUGCGCUGUUGUGUACGGCGUCAAACAGUUGCUUGACAAUAGCAGUAAAUGCCAGCUGUCUUGAGUCAAAACAAUCCCCAUGGCAAUAUAAGGCCAUUUCAUGUUUUCACAUUGCUUCAUAUUACAUGGCCAUUCAAAUAUGCAAAUAAUGGUUGAAGAUGCACUUGUGGCAUCUGAUAUUUUAUUUUAUACAAUGGACAAUCAAAAGAAUGUAGGGAAAAAUGUAAAACGUGGGCAGGAUGAGACUAAUUUUAUUUAUACAGGUGCAUCUCAAAAAAUUUGAAUAUCGUGGAAAAGUUAAUUUUUUCCCGUAAUUUAAUUUAAAAAGUGGAACUUUCAUAGAUUCUAGAUUCAUUACACAUAGAGUGAAAUAUUUCAAGCCUUUUUUGUUUUAAUCUUGAUGAUUACGGCUUACAGAUCGUGGAAAUCAAAAUUCCAGUAUCUAAAAUAUUAGAAUAAAUAAUUUAUAAUACAGAAAUUUCGGCCUUCUGAAAAGUAUGUUAAUUUAUGCACUCAAUACUUGCUCGGGGCUUUAAUCCUUUUGCACGAAUUACUGCAUCAAUGCAGCGUGGCAUGGAGGGAAUCAGACUGUGGCACUGUUGAGGUGUUCUGGAAGCCCAGGUUGCUUUGAUAGCGGCCUUCAGCUCGUCUGUAUUGUUGGGUCUGGUGUCUCACAUAGAUUCUCUAUGGGGUUCAGGUCAGGCGAGUUGGCUGGCCAAUCAAGCACAGUAAUACCAUACAGUAAACCAGUUACUAGUAGUUUUAGCACUGUGGGCAGGUACCAAGUCCUGCUGGAAAAGGAAAUCAGCAUCUCCAUAAAGCUUGUCAGCAGAUGGAAGCAUGAAGUUCUAUAAAAUCUCCUGGUAGACGCUGCAUUGACUCUCGACUUGAGAAAACACAGUGGACCAACACCAGCAGAUGACAUGGCCCCCCAAAUCAUCACUGACUGUGGAAACUUCACACUGGACUUUAAGCAACUUGGAUUCUGUGACUCUCCACUCUUCCUCCAGACUCUGAGACCUUGAUUUCCAAAUGAAAUGCAACAUUUACUUUCACCUUCCCCAUGACUGUAGUUGUGUACUGAACCAGACUGAGAGAUUCAAGGCUCAUGAAACCUUUGCAGGUAUUUUGAGUAAUUAGCUGAUUAGAGCUCUUCUCAGGUUGACAUUUCUGUAUUAAAAAUUCUUUAUUCUAAUAUUUUGAGAUACUGCAUUUUUGAUUUCAUGAGCUGUAAGUCCUAAUCUGUCAUGGCCUCCAGGGAUAAUUCCAUCUUUGGCCACAAGAGGGCACUCUGACUGUCAUUGCAGAACUUCUUCUUCUGUUGUCUCCCUCCAUGUCCUGUCUUAACCAUUCUCAUAUGUUUUCAUUUUCCUCAUUGAUUAGUGCUCUAUUUAAGUUCCCUGGGUUUUUUUUUUCUUCUUCAGUUGUUGGAGCAUUGCAUCAAGCCCUGGUAUGUUUGUGGCAAUAUGCUUUCCUGAGUAUCAAGAUGGGAACGUGAAAGGUCCCUAAGGUGGUCUGAUUGGUCCUGUGAAGAUGUGUGCAGAUAGAGAAGCAUUCCCAUUGGUGGCAGCCUGUAGGUAUUAUGGCUGCUCCCCAGACUCAGUCUCCAUGUGUGCUUCCCAUUUUCAGCCCUGAGUCCAGCCAAAAAGAAUGUUAGCUUGAAAGCUACUCCCCACUGUGCCUGCUUAGUCCUGAUAUGCCAUGCACAGGAAAGGAAACUGCUGCUCAUGCCAUCUAAUGAACACAAUAUUUGGACUGUAACUUUAGGGGGAAAAAAAGUCUUGCCUCCUCUGCUUUGUUAAAGAGAUUUUGGUAAAAUGUUUUAAAACUACAUUUUCGUUAACAAUAUUGCAUGUUGAUGUAGUCAGUGUUUAGUGACAUCGGUGUCUUCUAAUCGGAGUUGUGGAAAAUAAGGUCGAUAAACAUUUUUCGUUAAUGAAAUUAACACUAAUGCUGUUUAUUGGAAAAUAAUCAACUUCAGGGUAGUACCAGUAACUCUGCUUUGUGUCAGGCCUCAUCAUAUAAGUGAUUUCUUUUUUUUUUUUUUUUUUUUUUUUUUUUUUUUCUUCAGAUAAACUUCCAAAAGGAUAGCCUAAAUUUUCUUUCACUACAUUAAUUUAAGUAUGUGGGAAUAACUUAAGUGUAAUUUGUGUAUUGUCAAGCCUCUGCCCUUUUUGUUUUCCUGUAUACAGUGGCCAAAAUUCAGUUAUGAUACAAAUAAAUAACUGUGAGUAAACAGAACACAAACCUGUAUACUUUGUCAGUUACACAACUUAAUCUGUCAUGGCUGUUACAGCUACUCCCUAUCCUGAAACACAAUUAAAUGGUGUCAAUACAGAACCAUAGGCUGAACCUGAACAGGACUUUUAAAUUAGAACCUGAAAUGAUUAAAAACCAGUUGGAUUCCUCAACCAAUUUUUUCCUCAAUAUCUAUUUAUUUUUCCAAAGAAGCUUUGUAAAACUUCUUCCUUUUGGA